RNAcentral lists this ribosomal RNA (253 nucleotides) under uncultured bacterium. Its description in RNAcentral is "partial 16S ribosomal RNA". It matches the Rfam family "Bacterial small subunit ribosomal RNA", at positions 524 to 776 of the family's 1533-position model. The record is from RNAcentral.
UACGUAGGCAGCGAGCGUUGUUCGGAAUUACUGGGCGUAAAGAGUGUGUAGGCGGUGCUCUAAGUUCGGUGUGGAAUCUCCUGGCUUAACUGGGAGGGUGCGCCGGAAACUGGGGUGCUCGAGCGUGGGAGAGGAAAGCGGAAUUCCUGGUGUAGCGGUGAAAUGCGUAGAUAUCAGGAGGAACACCUGUGGUGUAGACAGCUUUCUGGACCAUUGCUGACGCUGAGACACGAAAGCGUGGGUAGCAAACAGG